UUGUUGUUAAUUUAUAGACUAUGUUUAUGAAGACCUUAAUUUAAAAAUAAUAAUAUUCAAAUUUUUAUUUAUCAAACACACAAAAAUAUUGAAUUUUGAUCAGAAAUCAACUUUUAAUUUUUAAAUCAGUAUUAAUAUUGAACACAUUAAAAACGAGUUUUUGGUAUUGAAUAAAUACAACACCACAUGAACACCACAUGCAGUUUUGUGAGUCCUUUCUUA
RNAcentral lists this long non-coding RNA (222 nucleotides) under Mytilus galloprovincialis (Mediterranean mussel). The record is from RNAcentral. Lineage: Eukaryota; Metazoa; Mollusca; Bivalvia; Mytilida; Mytilidae.